AGUGAACGCUGGCGGUAGGCCUAACACAUGCAAGUCGAACGGCAGCACAGUAAGAGCUUGCUCUUACGGGUGGCGAGUGGCGGACGGGUGAGGAAUACAUCGGAAUCUACUUUUUCGUGGGGGAUAACGUAGGGAAACUUACGCUAAUACCGCAUACGACCUACGGGUGAAAGCAGGGGAUAUUCGGACCUUGCGCGAUUGAAUGAGCCGAUGUCGGAUUAGCUAGUUGGCGGGGUAAAGGCCCACCAAGGCGACGAUCCGUAGCUGGUCUGAGAGGAUGAUCAGCCACACUGGAACUGAGACACGGUCCAGACUCCUACGGGAGGCAGCAGUGGGGAAUAUUGGACAAUGGGCGCAAGCCUGAUCCAGCCAUACCGCGUGGGUGAAGAAGGCCUUCGGGUUGUAAAGCCCUUUUGUUGGGAAAGAAAAGCAGCAGGUUAAUACCCCGCUGUUCUGACGGUACCCAAAGAAUAAGCAUCGGCUAACUUCGUG
Molecule: ribosomal RNA, 492 nt
Filed under: uncultured bacterium
Lineage: Bacteria
Description: partial 16S ribosomal RNA
Rfam family: Bacterial small subunit ribosomal RNA
Source: RNAcentral